This is a long non-coding RNA of Onychomys torridus (southern grasshopper mouse), 8089 nucleotides long. RefSeq lists it as uncharacterized. The record is from RefSeq and is a predicted model, not a curated record. The transcript is spliced from 4 exons. NCBI's taxonomy places the organism in Eukaryota, Metazoa, Chordata, Mammalia, Rodentia, Cricetidae.
AUGAUCUCUCCUUCUACCUGUCCAUGUUAAUGUUUAAGUGUUGCUUGUUGCCAAUGUGUAGAAUGGUAAUUUCCAAGAUUUAACCAAGCAUUGGUAAGUAAGCUGAUAUGCAUAAUUCAUGCUGCCCCCUGCAACCAUGCUGCUGCCUCUGUUAACCCUGUUGAUGUCCAUGAAUGGACCUCCCAUGCAUUCCUAUUGGUUCUAAAGCCAUGUUGAUGCAUGUGGUCCUUUUUACCAUGGGAUAACAUCCUGAAUGCCAUGACCUUUCUGGCCCUUUAUGACCAACUAAGGUAAGUGUUCUGUGUUGCCAUAGUGAAGAAUGUAAAUUUCUAAGAACUGAAAUACCAACUGAAACUAAGUUGAAAUCCAGAAUACAUCCUGCCACCUCCAGACAAGUUGAUGCCAUUGAUCCCUGCUGCCUUUGUUAAACAUAUGGAUGUCCAUGAGUGGACCUACCAUGUUAUUUCUACUAUUUUAGAAGUCUUAUUGAUGAGGGUUCUUCUUGCUCGUGGAUCUGAUGUUGAAGUCUGUCAUUCACCCUAUCAGCUGAGACCAUGUAGAUGCAAGAGUUCUGUGUUGCCAACAUGAAGAAUAUUAAUUUUAUGAUCACAACUACCAGCAGAAACCAUGUUGCUAUCCAUUCUACAUGAUGCUGCCUGAAACCAUGUGAAUUUAAUUGAUCCUUGCUGUCUGUUAACCAUAUGGAUGUCCAUGAUCAGAACUACUAUGCUAUUCCUACUACUACUGGAAGCAAUGUUGAUGCUCAUGAUCUUCUUACCAUGGACACCAGAUUGAUUUCCAUGAUCUCUCCUGUUAUGUGUGAUCAUGUUAAGGUAAGUGUUCCCUUUUGGAAAUAUAUAGAAUGGUAAUUCCCAAGAUUUAACCACAUGUUGGUAACUAAGCAGAUAUCCAUAAUUCUUGCUGCCACUUGCACCCAUGCUGAUGCCAUUGAUCCCUGAAUCCACUGUUAACCCUGUUGAUGUCUACAAAUGCACCUCCAAUACAUUCCUAUUGGUUCAGUAAUCCGUGUUGGUGCACAUGGUCCAUUUUACCACUGGAUAGCAUCCUGAUUGCCUUAAAUUCUGUGUCCCCAUAUGACCAUAUUUGGGUAAGUGUUCUAUAUUACAAAUGUGAAGAAUGUAAAUUUCCAAGAAUUGAUCUACCAACUGAAACUAGUUUGAUGUUCAGAAUGCAUGCUAUCCCUUCUGAACAAGUUGAUGUCAUUGAUCCCUGCUGUGUCUGGUAAACACUUGGAUGUCCAGGAGCUAUCCUACCAUGCUAUUCCUACUAUUUCUGAAAGCCAUGUUGAUGCCAGAGUUCUUUUUUGCCCAUGGGUCUUAUGUUGAUUUUCAUCAUCUGUCCUGUUACCUGAGACCAUGUUGAGUUCCAUCUUACCAAGGUGAAGAGUGUUGAUUUCCCUGCUGACAGCUCCUAGCAUCUUAAACUAUGCUGCUAUCCAUUCUACAUGCUGUCACCUGAAACCAUGUGGUUUAAUUGAUCCCUGCUGCCUCUGUAAACCAUAUGGAUGUCCAUGACUGGAAUUAGAGUGCUAUUCCUACUAUUUCUGGUAGCAAUGUAAUACUCAUGAUCUUCUAAACCACUGGACACCAGGUGGAUUUCCAUGAUCUCUCUUGCUAUGAGUGACCAUGUUAAGGUAAGUGUUCCUUGUUGCCAAUGUGUAGAAUUUUAAUUUCCAAGAUUUAACAAGCAGUGGUAUCUAAGAUGAUAUCCAUAAUUCAUGCUGCCACCUCCUACCAUGCUGCUGCCAUUGAUCCCUGCUGCCUUUAUUAACCCUGUUGAUGUCUAUCAGUGGACCUCCAAUGCAUUCCUAUUGGUUCUAAAGCCAUGUUGAUGCAUGAGGUCCUUGUUUCCACGGGAUAACAUCUUGAAGGCCAUGACCUCUCCUUCUUAGGACCAUGUUAAGGUAAGUAUUGUUUCCAAUGUGAAGAGUAUAAAUUUCCAAGAAUUGAAAUAUCAACUGAAACUAAGUUGAUAUCGGAAUGCAUGCUGCAAUCUCAAACAAGUUGAUGUCUUCAAUCCUUGCUGUGUCUGUUAAGCAUUUGGAUGACCAUGAGCAGACCUCUCAUACUAGUCCUACUAUUUCUGGGAGCCAUGUUGAUUCCAGGAUUCAUUCUUGCCCAUGGAUCUGAUGUUGAUGUCCAUCAUCUGUCCUGUUACCUGAGACCAUGUUGAUGCAAGAGUUCUGUGUUGCCAAUGUGAAGAAUGUUAAUUUCCCUGAUCCCUCAGCUACCAUCUAAACUAUGUUGCUAUCGUUCUACAUACUGGCACCUGCAACCAUGAGGAUUUAAUUGAUCCCUGCUGACUCUGUUAAUCAUAUGAAUGUCCAUGAUCAGAACUAGAAUGCUAUUCCUACUACUACUGGAAGCAGUAUGAUACUCAUGAUCUUCUUACCACUGGACACCGGGUUGAUUUCUAUGAUCACUCCUGCUACUAGUCACCACCUUAAGGUUCCUUGUUGCCAGUGUGUAGAAUGGUAAUUUCGAAGAAUAACCAACUGUUGGUAACUAAGUUGAUAUGCAUAAUUCAUGCUGCCACCUGCCCCUAUGCUGCUGCUAUUGGUCAGUGCUGCUUCUGCAAACCCUGUUGAUAGUAAUGAAUGGACUUUCCAUGCAUUCUUAUUGCUUCUGCAAGCCAUUUUGAUGCAUGUGGUCCUUUUUCCAAUGGGAUAACAUCUUGAUUGCCAUGAAUUCUCUACCCCUAUGACCGUAUUAAGGUAAGUGUUCUCUAUUGCCAAUGUGAAGAAUGUGAUUUCCAAGAAUUGAAAUACCAACUGAAACUAGUAUGAUAUCCUGAAUACAUGCUGCUACCUCCACACAAGUUGAUGUCAUUGAUCCCUGCUGACUCUGUUAACCUUAUGGAUGUCCAUGAUCAGAAGUACAAUGCUAUUCCUACUACUUCUGGAAGCAGUGUUGAUGCUCAUGAUCUUCUUACCACUGGACACCAGGUUGAUUUCCAUAAUCUCUCCUGCUAUUAGUGACCAUGUUAAGGUAAGUGUUCCUUCUUGACAGCAUGUAGAAUGUUAGUUUUCAAGAUUUAACAAGCAGUGGUAACUAAGCAGAUAUCCAUAAUUGAUGCUGCCACUUGCACCCAUGCUGAUGCCAUUGACCCCUGUAUCCACUGUUAACCCUGUUGAAGUCUAUGAAUGCACCUCCAAUGCAUUCCUGUUGGUUCUGUAAGCCAUGUUGGUGCAUGUGCUCUUUGUUACCAUGAGAAACAUCUUGAUGGCCAUGACCUUUCUGGCCCCUUAUGACCAUAUUAAGGUAAGUGUUCUGUGUUGCCAAUGUGAAGAAUAUAAAUUUCCAAGAAUUGAAAUAUCAGCUGAAACUAAGUUGAUAUCUGGAAUACUUGCUGCCACCUCCAAACAAGUUGCUGUCAUUGAUCCUUGCUGCCUCUGUUAAUCAUGUGAAUGUCCAUGAGUGAGUGGACCUACCAUGUUAUUACUACUACGUUUGGAAGCCAUGUUGAUGCCAGGGUUGUUCUUGCCCAUGGAUCUGAUGUUGAAGUCCAUCAUCUGUCCUGCUACCUGAGAACAUGUUGAUGCAAGAGUUCUGUCUUUCCAACAUGAAGAAUGUUAAUUUCUCUGAUCUCAACUACCAUUGGAAACUAUAUGGCUAUCCAUUCUACAUGCUACUACCUGAAACCAGGUGGAUUUGCCCUGCUGCCUCAGUUAACCCUAUGGAUGUCCCAUGAUCAGAACUGCAAUGCUAUUCCUACUACUUCUGGAAACAGUGUUGAUGCUCAUCAUCUUCUUACCACUGGGUACCAGGUGGAUUUCCAUGAUCUCUCCUGCUGCCUAUGACCAUGUUAAUUUAAGUGUUUCUUGUUUCCAAUGUGUAGAAUGUUAAUUUCCAAGAUUUAACCAAUCGUUGGUAACUAAGUUGAUACACAUAAUUCAUGCUGCCACCUGCUACCAUGCUGCUGCCAUUGAUCCUUGGGCCUCUGUGAACCCUGUUGAUGUCCAUGAAUGGACUUCCCAUGCAUUCCUAAUGGUUCUGAAAUCCAUAUUGAUAUAAGUGGUCCUUGUUACCAUGGGAUAACAUCUUGAUUGCCAUGGCCUCUUUUGCCUCAUAUGACCAUAAUAACUUUUCUGUUGCCAACGUGAAGAAUGUAAAUUUCCAAGAAUUGAAAUACCAACAGAAACUAAGUUAAUAUCCUAAAUGCAUGCUGCUACCUCCAAAUAAGUUGAUAUCAUUGAUCCCUGCUGCAUUUGUUAAACAUGUGGAUGUUGGUGAUCAGAUGUACAAGGCUAUUCCUACUACUUCUGGAAGCAGUGUUGAUGCUCAUGAUCUUCUUACCACUGGGUACCAAAUUGAUUUCCAUGAUCUCUCCUGCUAUGAGUGACCAAGAUAAGGUAAGUGUUCCUUAUUGCCAAUGUGUAGAAUGGCAAUUCCCAAGAUUUAAUGAACCUUUGGUAACUUAGCAGAUAUCCAUAAUUCAUGCUGCCAUCUAUACCCAUGCUGAUGCCAUUGAUCCCUUCUGCCUCUAUUAACACUGUUAAUGUCUAUGAAUGGACUCCCAUGCAUUCCUAUUGGUUCUAAAGCCAUGUUGAUGCUUGUGGUCCUUGUUUCCAUGGGAUAACAUCUUGAUGGCCAUUACCUCUCUGGCCCCUUAUGAACAUACUAAUGUAAGUGUCUGUGUUGCCAACGUGAGGAAUAAUAAAUUUCCAAGAAAAGAAAUACCAACUGAAACUAAGUUGCUAUUCACAAUGCAUGGUGCCACCUCCAAACAUGUUGAAGUCAUUGAUCCCUCCUGCCUCUGUUAGACAUGUUGAUGUUUAUGAUUGGAAUUAUAAUGAUAUUCCUACCACAUUUGGAAUCCACGAUGAUGCCCAUUGUUUUUGUACCAGUAGAUACCAUAUUGAUUCCUGUGAUCUCUCCUGCUGUCUUUGACCUUGUUAAAUUAUGUAUUCUGUGCUGCCAACUUGAAGAAUGUUAAGUUCCAAGAUUUAACCAUUGAAAUGUUAAAUUUCCAAGAUUUCAUCAGUCUUGGAAACUAAUUUUAUACCCAUAAUUCCUGGUGUCACCUGCAUCCAUGCUCAUUUUAUUGAUCCCUGUUGCCUCUGUUGCCAAUGAGGAAAAUGUCAAUUUUCAAAAUUUAAUCUACAAUCUGAAAAUAAGUUGAUAUCCAUGAUUCAUGCUGCCUGCCACCUGCAACCACGUUGAUGCCAUUGAUCCCACAUGCCUCUGUUAACCAGAUUGAUGUCUAACAUAGGACCUAACAUGCUAUUCCUACUAUUUCUGGAAGCCAUGUUGAUGUGUAUAGUCCUUCCUACCACUGCAUACAUUGUUGAUUUCCAAGAUCUCUCCUGUCCCUUGUGACCACACUAAAGUAAGUGUUCUGUGUUGCCAAUAUGCAAAAUGCUAAUUUCCAAGAUUCAACUCACCAUCCAAAAGUAAGAUGAAAUCCAUAAUUUAUGAUGGCACCUAAAACUAUGUUGAUGUCUUUGAUCCCAAGUACCUCUGUUAACCAAAUGGAUGUCCAUUAUCAGAUGGACCUACUAUGGUAUUCCUACUAUUUCUGGAAGCCUUAUUGAUGCUUGUGGUCUUUCUUACCCAUGGAUAUGACAUUGAUGUCCAUCAUCUCUUCUGUCACCUGAGACCAUGUUGAUUCAAGAGUUCUGUGUUGCCAUCUUCAUGAAUGUUACUUUCCGUGAUCUCAGCUGCCAUCUGAAACUAUGUUGCUAUCUAUAGUACAUGCUGCCACCUGUAACCUUGUUGAUGUCACUGCUGCCUGCUGCCUCCUUUUCCAUGUUGAUGUCUGUCGUGAGCCUUACCAUGCUGUUCCUAUUGGUUUGAAGGCCAUGUUGAUGCCUUGUGGUAUGUUUUGCUCCUGGAUAAGAUGCUGAUGUUAAAUGGUUUGUUCUGCCACCUGAGACCAUGCUGAGGUAAGUUUUCUGUGUUGCCAGCAUGAAGACUAUUGAUUUCCAUGAGUUGACCUAUGGUCUGAACCUAAGUUGAUAUCCAUAAUUCAUUCUGUCCCUGAUACCAUGUUGAUAUCACUGAUCCUUGCAUCUUUGUUUAUCAUGUUGAUUACCAUGAUCUGACCGACCAUGCUGUCCCUACUGCUUCUGGAAGCCGUGUUGAUGUCUGUGGUCCUUGGUGCCCCUGGAUAUGAUGUUGAUGUCGAUGUUCUGUCCUGACUCCUGAAUCCAUGCUGAGGCCACCAUAUUGAUGUCACUGAUCCUUGCCGCAUGUUUUAACUAUGGUGAUAUCCAUGAUCCAAUCUUCCAUUCAAAACUUUGCUGAUGUCAUGGAUCUUUCUGACUUCUGCUAUGUUGCUGCCAAUGAUCUGCCCUACCACUCAAUCCCUGCUGUUUCUGGAAGCCAUAUUGAUGCCUGUGGUCCUUGUUGCCCCUGGAUACGAUGUUGCUGUCCAUGUUCUGUCCUGCCACCUGAGGCCACACUGAGGAAAUCAUGUUGAUGUCCCUGUUUCUUGCUGCAUCUUCUAACCACAUUGAUGUUCAUCAUCCAACCUACUCUCCACAACUUUGUUGAUGUUACUGAUGUGUUGGAGCUGUCAACCAUGUUGAGGUUACUUAAUUUUGCUACCACCUGUAACCAUAUUGAUGUCUGCAAUCUACACUGUGAUCUGAAACAAUGUUGAAGUCAUUCAUCCAUACUACUACCUGAGACCCAGUUCAAGUAAGUUUCUUGUGUCGCCCAUCUGUACAAUAUUGAUUUCCAUGAUCUGACUGCCACCUGAAACUAAGUUGAUAUCCCUGAUCUGUACUGACAUAGGCAACCAUAUCGAUGUGACUGAUUCUCACUGCCUCUCUUAGUCUUGCUGGUAUCCAUGAUUCGAACUACCGUCUGAAACUUUGUUGACGUCACUGAUCUGCGUGUUUGAUGUUACUGAACCCUGCUACCACUUGUAGCCAUACUGUAGUCUGUAGUCUGCAAUCAUCUGAGACAAUGCUGAAAUCAGUGGUGCAUGCUAUCACCUGAGACCCAGUUCAUGUAAGUGUCCUGUGUUGACAAUGCAUACGAUGUUGAUUUCUGUGAUCAGUCUGCCACUGGAAACUAAGUUGAUGUACAUGAUCUGCCACAGACUUCCAUCCAUGUUGAUGUCACUGAUCCCUGUUGCCUGUGUUAACGAUGUUGAUGUUCAUUAUCUGACUUAACAUCUAAAAUUAUGUUGAUGUCACUCAUCCAUGCUGCCGUUUAUAACCAUGUUUAUGGUCAUAGUCUGUGUUGGAAUCUUAGACCUUGUGGAUGUCCAUGGUCCACGUUGCCACUUGAAUCCAUAAUGAUGACAAUGAUGACUGUACUCUGUGCUGGUGCUGGGGAGUAGGUCGAUAUGCAUGAUCCAAGCUGCCAGCAGAAACCAUUUUGAUGUCGUUAAGCCAUCCUGGUGCUGGAGACCAUGUUGACAUCUUUGUCCUUGCUACCACCAAAAACCACGUUUAUAUUCGUGCUCUGGGCCGCCUGCUGAAGACCACUUAGAUAUCCAUGACCCAGCCUCUGAUGGAAACUGUGUUGUUGUCUGUGGUCAGUACUGCCACAAGAAGGCAUCCUGGUGUUAUUGAUCAGUGAUGCCUCCUGCAGACAUGUUUGUUGGUGAUCUGUGUUGAAGUUAGGGACCAGAUGGAUGUCAUCUAAGCUGUCACCAGAAAUCUUGAGGACCAUGACCUGUGCUGCUGCUGGAAAGCAUGUGGAAGUCUUUGAUCCAUUCUGCUGCUGGAAAGCAUGUGGAAGUCUGUGAUCUGUACUGCCACUGACAUUUCUUGUCAAAGAAGCUUCUUUUGUAGUAGUGUCCAUGACUGCAGAAUCAUAACUGAAAAUGACAGACAUUGAAGGCUUCUGUGCCACUCUCUAGACAGGACCUAACUGAAGAGAGUCCUUGGAAAUUGUAAUAAAUAUGCUUAAUUGUAGCUCUUCAUAUUUCAUGGCUUCAGGUGGGGGUUUGGGGAAGGACUCCUUUUUAAGUGGCUGGCCACUACAAGUCUGACCAUGCUCCAAUGAGGAUAUGGGCAACACAUAUUUGACUUGUUGUAGUGUAUUUUUUCUAUUCUGGGGGAGAAUGGCACAAGGGUGUGGGUGGACCAGGGAGGAAUAUGAAGCAAGUGUGA